This 211-nucleotide unclassified non-coding RNA is filed under the name plant metagenome. RNAcentral describes it as "partial contains small subunit ribosomal RNA, internal transcribed spacer 1, and 5.8S ribosomal RNA". The record is from RNAcentral.
UUUCCGUAGGUGAACCUGCGGAAGGAUCAUUCAUAAUAAAGUGUUUUAUGGCACUUUUUAAAAAUCCAUCUCCACCUUGUGUGCAAUGUUAGAUCUCGUCAAUCUUGGCGAGAUUUUUAUACAUCAACUCAUUCUUUAACUAAUUUGUCUGAAAAAUCUUAUGAAUACUUAAUUCAAAAUACAACUUUCAACAACGGAUCUCUUGGCUCUC